CCUACGUGUGGCAGCAGUGGGGAAUAUUGGACAAUGGGCGAAAGCCUGAUCCAGCAAUGCCGCGUGUGUGAAGAAGGCCUUCGGGUUGUAAAGCACUUUCAGUGGGGAAGAAAGCCUUGGGGCUAAUACCCUCGAGGAAGGACAUCACCCACAGAAGAAGCACCGGCUAACUCCGUGCCAGCAGCCGCGGUAAUACGGAGGUGCGAGCGUUAAUCGGAAUUACUGGGCGUAAAGCGCGCGUAGGCGGUCUGAUAAGCCGGUUGUGAAAGCCCCGGGCUCAACCUGGGAACGGCAUCCGGAACUGUCAGGCUAGAGUGCAGGAGAGGAAGGUAGAACUCCCGGUGUAGCGGUGAAAUGCGUAGAGAUCGGGAGGAAUACCAGUGGCGAAGGCGGCCUUCUGGACUGUCACUGACGCUGAGGUGCGAAAGCGUGGGUAGCAAACAGGAUUAGAUACCCGAGUAGUC
This 464-nucleotide ribosomal RNA is filed under the name Vreelandella stevensii. RNAcentral's name for it is "partial 16S ribosomal RNA". It matches the Rfam family "Bacterial small subunit ribosomal RNA", at positions 338 to 795 of the family's 1533-position model. Lineage: Bacteria; Pseudomonadati; Pseudomonadota; Gammaproteobacteria; Oceanospirillales; Halomonadaceae. The record is from RNAcentral.